Molecule: long non-coding RNA, 248 nt
Filed under: Vitis vinifera (wine grape)
Lineage: Eukaryota; Viridiplantae; Streptophyta; Magnoliopsida; Vitales; Vitaceae
Description: long non-coding RNA (VVIN_LNC004451)
Source: RNAcentral
GAUUGCAAAGAAAUUAUGAUGGGGAGAAGAAGCCUUGGCAAUUAAGGAAAAGCAAUCUAAGCAAUCACACCUAGGAUUCCAAACUAACCAUGCUAAAUAACAACAGUCAAGCACUCUGAACAAGUGAUCAUUUAUUACUAAUUGAGAAACUAGAGAAGAUGAACAGCAGCUGGAGAAGAAUUUGCCUAUUGUUGAGGAAGACUUCCAAGGUAAGGUUUGUAGAAGAGAGUGGAGGGCCAUGGAUUGUU